RNAcentral lists this ribosomal RNA (425 nucleotides) under uncultured bacterium. RNAcentral describes it as "bacterial SSU rRNA". It matches the Rfam family "Bacterial small subunit ribosomal RNA", at positions 62 to 476 of the family's 1533-position model. The record is from RNAcentral.
UCGAACGGUAACAGGAAGCAGCUUGCUGCUUCGCUGACGAGUGGCGGACGGGUGAGUAAUGUCUGGGAAACUGCCUGAUGGAGGGGGAUAACUACUGGAAACGGUAGCUAAUACCGCAUAACGUCGCAAGACCAAAGAGGGGGACCUUCGGGCCUCUUGCCAUCGGAUGUGCCCAGAUGGGAUUAGCUAGUAGGUGGGGUAACGGCUCACCUAGGCGACGAUCCCUAGCUGGUCUGAGAGGAUGACCAGCCACACUGGAACUGAGACACGGUCCAGACUCCUACGGGAGGCAGCAGUGGGGAAUAUUGCACAAUGGGCGCAAGCCUGAUGCAGCCAUGCCGCGUGUAUGAAGAAGGCCUUCGGGUUGUAAAGUACUUUCAGCGGGGAGGAAGGCGAUAAGGUUAAUAACCUUGUCUAUUGACGUU